RNAcentral lists this long non-coding RNA (734 nucleotides) under Salvia miltiorrhiza (redroot sage). Its description in RNAcentral is "long non-coding RNA (SMIL_LNC006841)". The record is from RNAcentral. Lineage: Eukaryota; Viridiplantae; Streptophyta; Magnoliopsida; Lamiales; Lamiaceae.
CUGUAAGGACUUGAAGGUGUGAUUUUUGGACUUGUUGGUGAAUAUGCUUGUGAAGGGCUAUACCUUGCUGAAGGAUUGUAACUUGGUGAGGUUGGACUGUAAGUUGGUGAGGUGGGACUGUAUCCAGGCGAAGUUGGGCUGUAGGCAGGUGAGGUUGGGCUAUAUGAUGGCGAGGUUGGGCUGUACGAUGGAGAGGUUGGGCUAUAUGAAGGUGAGGUUGGGCUGUAAGAUGGAGAGGUUGGGCUGUAAGAGGGUGAGGUAGGGCUGUAAGAGGGUGAUGUGGGGCUGUAAGACGGAGACGUGGGGCUGUAAGCCGGAGAGGUUGGGCUAUACGCAGGUGAGGUUGGGCUGUAUGCUGGAGAAGUUGGGCUGUAGCUCGGAGAUGUAGGGCUGUAGCUCGGAGAUGUGGGGCUAUAGCUAGGAGAUGUUGGGCUGUAGGAAGGAGACGUUGGUGAAUAAGAUGGGCUUGUGGGAGAAUACGCAGGGCUUGUAGGACUAUAUCCAGGAGAACUAGGACUAUAUGUUGGGGACGUAGGGCUGUAACCAGGGGAAGUAGGACUGUACCCAGGUGAGGUGGGGCUGUAUCCAGGAGAUGACGGGCUGUAUCCAGGAGAUGAAGGGCUGUACCCUGGAGAUGAUGUAGGAGAAAACGCCAUCCCGCCCACAUACGGAGAAAACUGAGCAUCUGAAACAGGAGAUAACCGAAGAUUUGGGCUCAGCAUAUAAUUUGGUGA